CCUACGGGGGGCUGCAGUGGGGAAUAUUGGACAAUGGGGGGAACCCUGAUCCAGCCAUGCCGCGUGUGUGAAGAAGGCCCUCGGGUUGUAAAGCACUUUCAGUGAGGAAGAACGCCUGGUGGUUAAUACCCAUCAGGAAAGACAUCACUCACAGAAGAAGCACCGGCUAACUCCGUGCCAGCAGCCGCGGUAAUACGGAGGGUGCGAGCGUUAAUCGGAAUUACUGGGCGUAAAGCGCGCGUAGGUGGCUUGAUAAGCCGGUUGUGAAAGCCCCGGGCUCAACCUGGGAACGGCAUCCGGAACUGUCAAGCUAGAGUGUAGGAGAGGAAGGUAGAAUUCCCGGUGUAGCGGUGAAAUGCGUAGAGAUCGGGAGGAAUACCAGUGGCGAAGGCGGCCUUCUGGACUGACACUGACACUGAGGUGCGAAAGCGUGGGUAGCAAACAGGAUUAGAUACCCGGGUAGUC
This 465-nucleotide ribosomal RNA is filed under the name Vreelandella stevensii. RNAcentral describes it as "partial 16S ribosomal RNA". It matches the Rfam family "Bacterial small subunit ribosomal RNA", at positions 338 to 795 of the family's 1533-position model. Lineage: Bacteria; Pseudomonadati; Pseudomonadota; Gammaproteobacteria; Oceanospirillales; Halomonadaceae. The record is from RNAcentral.